AUAAUUUUAUGUUAUAUAAACUAUUAACCUUCAAAGUUAAAAAUAUUUAAAUAUAUUAAAUAAAUUAUA
Molecule: transfer RNA, 69 nt
Filed under: Ibalia sp. ZJUH 20220011
Lineage: Eukaryota; Metazoa; Arthropoda; Insecta; Hymenoptera; Ibaliidae
Description: tRNA-Trp
Source: RNAcentral